RNAcentral lists this long non-coding RNA (263 nucleotides) under Gossypium barbadense (sea-island cotton). RNAcentral's name for it is "long non-coding RNA (GBAR_LNC020246)". The record is from RNAcentral. Lineage: Eukaryota; Viridiplantae; Streptophyta; Magnoliopsida; Malvales; Malvaceae.
CGAACUUAACCAGAAUGAAGCAAAGAUAAUUAAUCAUUAUAUUCUUUGUCUUCAUAUUCAAAAUUCAUCAUUCUAAGAGUUCAUCCCCAUCCUUUACCCGAAAAUCUAUUAAUAAGCUUAAGUCUCCCUCUUUCAAUUUCUUCUAAACCUUUUUUAUUUUAUUACUUUGAAUUUCUGACUUUUUAUUCUUACUUGUUACUAUUUAGGGUUUAGUGAAAUGUGUUAAGGUUUUCCCAAUGCUAUCAAGCAAUAGCGUAACUAGG